AUUUGGAAGGGGACUUGGCUGCAACUAAAACAAACAGAAGGCCAAGAAAGCUCAACCUCUGGGAAGCCUACUAAGGGGAAAAUCAAUUCAAAAUAUGCCCGGAGCCUCUGCUGCAGCUUCAGAGACCUCCUGGAAUUCAGUCCUCCAGACAAUUGUUUUGGGUCAAUUAUAAUGUUUACAGAUGAAGAACAUAAAGCUUGGGAAAGUUAAAUCAUUCAGGAUUUGGUUCGUGGGAACUUAAGUAAGUUUUGGAGUAAGAAUUUUAAAUUAGGUUUGUGUGACACCGCAGUUCAGAACCACCUCCAGCCACAGCAUAAAUGAGAGAUUGAAAUUUCCACUCAGGUAUUCAGCUCUGAAUGUCUGUAGAGAAGUUUGGCAUUUGCCCUGUAAAAGUGACUGCAAUGGACAGUCCACUCUGACUUAGUUAAUAUCUCCAGUUCUCCAUCCAAAACAAGCUGUGUAGGUAAGAACUGGGGAAUACCUUAGCAAACAAGAAAGAGAAAUAACGUACACCCAAAUUCCCUAAAUUUUGUUUCUGGUGUUGUCGACUUUUAAGCUGGGAUAAGAAUAAUAGAGCCUAAUUUUUUUCCACUCAUGAAGCCUGCGAGUAUGCUCCGUUGCACGGCAAAGAGGAAGUAAUGCUGUUUAUCAGCUGCCCUUUAAACAACGGGCGAUUCCGGAGUGUUAGCAGAGCAGCUCUAGUGUGAUAUGGAUAUAUGUGAAAGUGGAGAUAGGAAGCAGAAGGUGCUGAGCGGUUAGCAUGACCUGAGAGGUACUCAGCCCAUUCUUGCUUACUUUAAAACACCAGGCAGCAAUGAAUCAAGCAAUGUGGGAAGCCUCUAGAACAGCCCUUCUCAACCUAUAGGUCUCCACUCCACAGGGGUCAUCAGAUAUUUAUAUUAUGAUUUAUAACAGUAAAAUUACAGUUAUGAAGUAACAACGAAUAAUUUUAUGUUGGGGAGGGGGGCUCACCACAGUAUGAGGAACUGUAUUAGAGGGUCCUAGCAUUAGGAAGAUUGAGAACUACUCUUCCAGAAGCUAGGAAAAAAAAGUUAACUAAAUAAAUCUUUCCCCGAGCUCUGACA
This 1085-nucleotide long non-coding RNA is filed under the name Mus spicilegus (steppe mouse). Its description in RNAcentral is "lncRNA (ENSMSIG00000029050.1)". The record is from RNAcentral. Lineage: Eukaryota; Metazoa; Chordata; Mammalia; Rodentia; Muridae.